GUGGCUAUGGUGUAACGGUUAACACUGAGGUUUGUGGAGCCUCCAAUUCGGGUUCGAUUCCCGAUAGCCACCCCA
This 75-nucleotide transfer RNA is filed under the name Candidatus Yonathbacteria bacterium RIFOXYC2_FULL_47_9. Its description in RNAcentral is "tRNA-His". It matches the Rfam family "tRNA". From Rfam's summary of the family: Transfer RNA (tRNA) molecules are approximately 80 nucleotides in length. Their secondary structure includes four short double-helical elements and three loops (D, anti-codon, and T loops). Lineage: Bacteria; Candidatus Yonathiibacteriota. RNAcentral also lists the same sequence under 1 other name. The record is from RNAcentral.